Molecule: ribosomal RNA, 476 nt
Filed under: uncultured bacterium
Lineage: Bacteria
Description: bacterial SSU rRNA
Rfam family: Bacterial small subunit ribosomal RNA
Source: RNAcentral
AGGACGAACGCUGGCGGCGUGCUUAACACAUGCAAGUCGAGCGAUGAAGCUCCUUCGGGAGUGGAUUAGCGGCGGACGGGUGAGUAACACGUGGGCAACCUGCCUUGUAGAGAGGAAUAGCCAUUCGAAAGGAUGAUUAACACCUCAUAAUAUUGUAGCUUCGCAUGAAGCAACAACCAAAGGAGCAAUCCACUACAAGAUGGGCCCGCGGCGCAUUAGCUAGUUGGUGGGGUAACGGCUCACCAAGGCGACGAUGCGUAGCCGACCUGAGAGGGUGAUCGGCCACAUUGGGACUGAGACACGGCCCAGACUCCUACGGGAGGCAGCAGUGGGGAAUAUUGCACAAUGGGGGAAACCCUGAUGCAGCCAACGCCGCGUGAGUGAUGACGGUCUUCGGAUUGUAAAGCUCUGUCUUCAGGGACGAUAAUGACGGUACCUGAGGAGGAAGCCACGGCUAACUACGUGCCAGCCGCCGC